RNAcentral lists this ribosomal RNA (292 nucleotides) under uncultured eukaryote. RNAcentral's name for it is "partial 18S ribosomal RNA". It matches the Rfam family "Eukaryotic small subunit ribosomal RNA", at positions 6 to 269 of the family's 1831-position model. The record is from RNAcentral.
GGUUGAUCCUGCCAGUAGCAUAUGCUUGUCUCAAAGAUUAAGCCAUGCAUGUCCAAGUAUAAACCUCUUUAUACCGCGAAACUGCGUACAGCUCAUUACAUCAGUUAUAAUUUCUUUGAAGGUUGAGUACUACAUGGAUACCCGUAGUAAUUCUAGAGCUAAUACAUGCGUAUGUUUCUGACUGCCCUGUGUGAAUGGGGUUGGGAGGAAAGUAUUUAUUAGAUUCAGACCCAUCUUUUGGAGGUGUUAAAGCCUCCAAAGUUUGCUGGUGAUUCAUGGUAACUGUUCGAAU